RNAcentral lists this ribosomal RNA (396 nucleotides) under grassland soil clone saf2_216. RNAcentral describes it as "bacterial SSU rRNA". It matches the Rfam family "Bacterial small subunit ribosomal RNA", at positions 48 to 492 of the family's 1533-position model. The record is from RNAcentral.
UUAACACAUGCAAGUCGAACGCCCCGCAAGGGGAGUGGCAGACGGGUGAGUAACGCGUGGGAAUCUACCCAUCUCUGCGGAAUAGCUCUGGGAAACUGGAAUUAAUACCGCAUACGCCCUACGGGGGAAAGAUUUAUCGGGGAUGGAUGAGCCCGCGUUGGAUUAGCUAGUUGGUGGGGUAAAGGCCUACCAAGGCGACGAUCCAUAGCUGGUCUGAGAGGAUGAUCAGCCACAUUGGGACUGAGACACGGCCCAAACUCCUACGGGAGGCAGCAGUGGGGAAUAUUGGACAAUGGGCGCAAGCCUGAUCCAGCCAUGCCGCGUGAGUGAUGAAGGCCUUAGGGUUGUAAAGCUCUUUCACCGGUGAAGAUAAUGACGGUAACCGGAGAAGAAGCC